Molecule: long non-coding RNA, 1129 nt
Filed under: Salmo salar (Atlantic salmon)
Lineage: Eukaryota; Metazoa; Chordata; Actinopteri; Salmoniformes; Salmonidae
Description: lncRNA (ENSSSAG00000093571.1, ENSSSAG00000113529.1)
Source: RNAcentral
ACACUUUCUAGCGCCGUUUUGAAAUCAUAACGUGGUAGGGAUAAUAAGGAAGCGAUUGGUUUGUGACACACAAGAGCAGCCACUCAGCAAUAGCCUAUGUCAGCUCAUACUGCAGUUACACCUCCAUAUCCGUCGAAACAUCUGCUAUGUGCAUGUCGGCCAACGAUGGUUAACGCUCAAUCUGAUUGACUCUAGGUCUAAUGCUAAUCCAUAUACGGUUUUCUUCAAUAAGGUCCUGUGAUGAUACGGUACUAUAGCAAAGCAAUGAGAGCACAAAGAAAUUCACUCUUCUAAUUCAACACUUUCUUCUGCUGUCAAAGGCAUGUUGCUUCUGAUGAUACCUCCAUCCAAUAAGAGCUGGACGAAGUAAAAACCUUUCAUGUUCUUUUACAUAGGAACAUACAGUCCUAUUUAUUUGAGCUGGACUGAAGGGAAAAAUAAUUGCAAGACCAGCAAGCAGUGGUGGCAGCCUAGACCAGCUGCACCAGGACAAAGGAAUAACUUGUUUUGCUGUCGGUAGCUAGAUAGCAAUAUAAGCUUUCUUUUAACCGAGACAGUGUUGUUCAGUACAGUACAAUUUAGUGAUCGAUUCAGCCGUAAAGGAGCUUGCUAGAACCACUACAAGCCAAGCUAGCCAAGUUUAGCUAGCUAGCUAGCUGUGCUGUUUAGCUUGAUCACUCAUAUUAGUCUUGUAACUAUACCUGUAUGCUGUAGCUAGCUAGCUACCUAGCUAGCUAACGUGUGUCUAAGAUUUCUCAUAUUUUACACCAUGCUGCAACAAUAGGAAUACAGACAGUACACAAUGAUUGCCAUGAAUGUGUAGCGUUUUCGUCUUUCUCUCACAGACAAAACUGCUUGGAUACAAAGAAAUUGAUGACUCUCAAGAGGAGAUGUAAAAGGCAGUUUCCAGAAUGUUCUUCAGCUGAUGAACCUCUUCUUGUGUUGGGUAAUGGCAGAUGAUGUAGCAAGCUUUGUCACCGUGGCAAUGUUGGCAGGGAUGUUGGGUUUGAGGGGCUGUGGUCUGGUCCUUUCUGCACUCCACAGCCAGGUGGACAUACCUCUCGUACACGUUCUUCACCACCCACUGCUUCGACCGCUUACAGAAGAUUUGUUUGUAACGCAAGUCUCC